AUGGCUGUCGUCAGCUCGUGUCGUGAGAUGUUGGGUUAAGUCCCGUAACGAGCGCAACCCCUAUCCUUAUUUGCCAGCGGAUUAUGCCGGGAACUCUAAGGAGACUGCCGGUGACAAACCGGAGGAAGGCGGGGAUGAGGUCAAGUCAUCAUGGCCCUCAUGGGGUGGGCUAGAAACGUGCUACAAUGGGAAGUACAAAGGGCUGCAAACCCGCGAGGGUAAGCGAAUCCCAAAAAACUUCUCGUAGUCCGGAUAGGAGUCUGCAACUCGACUCCUUGAAGUCGGAAUCGCUAGUAAUCGCGAAUCAGAAUGUCGCGGUGAAUACGUUCCCGGGCCUUGUACACACCGCCCGUCACAUCAUGGAAGUGGGUUGCACCAGAAGUAGCUAGUCUAACCUUCGGGAGGACGGCUACCACGGUGUGGUUCAUGACUAGGAUGAAGUCGUAACAAGGUAGCCGUAGGGGAACCUGCGGCUGGAUCACCUCCUUAACCUAAAAGAUGGUCGUCGUCUCGUCGAGCGACCGAGCUUCGCUUUGCGAAUCUCGAGAAGCUAGAUGAGACCGAUACACCAUCCAGCCGAGGACUCGAUCUUUACGCACGAGCUGGAAUCUCUUCGGAGAUUUUAUGGCGGCGCUUAGCGUCGCCCCCACACGAAUGGUUUAUUCACAUACAUUGGGCCUACGCGAGCGGGUCUGUAGCUCAGUUGGUUAGAGCGCACCCCUGAUAAGGGUGAGGUCGGUGGUUCAAAUCCACCCAGACCCACCACUUAUACGCACCGCACAGUAGCCAAUCCGAGGGGCCGUAGCUCAGCUGGGAGAGCACCUGCCUUGCACGCAGGGGGUCAGGAGUUCGAUCCUCCUCGGCUCCACCAUCUGCGGCUCUAUCGUCAGAGUCGGAGUUCGGAGUGUAGAUUGUUGCAUUGGAUGGGGCUUCCCUCGCGUUGCAACGCGCAACCGCUAGAGCGCUAAUAUCGAAGCGAAAUAAUGACGUUUUGAUAUUGGCGUUUGGUCCUGCGAAGGAUUGAAGCCCGCUCUUUAACAAUUUGAAACUGAUGAAGCCGUGUUUUUCACGUAAGCGUGAAAGACACUCCGCUCUGCCGGCAAGUAUGCCGGUGAGAGCAAAAAUUGUUCGAUGUGCCUGGGAUAGCAUGAGUGCUAUCCCGCAGUCCGCCGACCGCGGCGGUACUGCUGGUAUAUCCGGCGAAAGUUUAACGACGAUGAGCUUAGCGGACACCUCGUUCGUUGGGUUAUAUGGUCAAGUGAACAAGCGCAUCUGGUGGAUGCCUUGGCAGCUGAAGGCGAUGAAGGACGUUGUAGCUUGCGAUAAGCCUCGGGGAGCCGGCAAACAGGCUUUAAUCCGAGGAUUUCCGAAUGGGGAAACCCGG
Molecule: small RNA, 1384 nt
Filed under: uncultured bacterium
Lineage: Bacteria
Description: bacterial SSU rRNA
Rfam family: Bacterial small subunit ribosomal RNA (bases 1-489)
Source: RNAcentral